AGCGAACGCUGGCGGCAGGCCUAACACAUGCAAGUCGAACGGCUCUUCGGAGCAGUGGCGGACGGGUGAGUAACACGUGGGAACGUGCCCUAAGGUACGGAACAACUGAGGGAAACUUCAGCUAAUACCGUAUGUGCCCUACGGGGGAAAGAUUUAUCGCCUUAGGAGCGGCCCGCGUUGGAUUAGGUAGUUGGUGGGGUAAAGGCCUACCAAGCCUACGAUCCAUAGCUGGUCUGAGAGGAUGAUCAGCCACACUGGGACUGAGACACGGCCCAGACUCCUACGGGAGGCAGCAGUGGGAAUCUUGCGCAAUGGGCGAAAGCCUGACGCAGCCAUGCCGCGUGUAUGAUGAAGGUCUUAGGAUUGUAAAAUACUUUC
This 378-nucleotide ribosomal RNA is filed under the name uncultured bacterium. Its description in RNAcentral is "bacterial SSU rRNA". It matches the Rfam family "Bacterial small subunit ribosomal RNA", at positions 29 to 437 of the family's 1533-position model. The record is from RNAcentral.